GAUGAACGCUGGCGGCGUGCCUAAUACAUGCAAGUCGAGCGAACGGACGAGAAGCUUGCUUCUCUGAUGUUAGCGGCGGACGGGUGAGUAACACGUGGAUAACCUACCUAUAAGACUGGGAUAACUUCGGGAAACCGGAGCUAAUACCGGAUAAUAUUUUGAACCGCAUGGUUCAAAAGUGAAAGACGGUCUUGCUGUCACUUAUAGAUGGAUCCGCGCUGCAUUAGCUAGUUGGUAAGGUAACGGCUUACCAAGGCAACGAUGCAUAGCCGACCUGAGAGGGUGAUCGGCCACACUGGAACUGAGACACGGUCGAGACUCCUACGGGGGGCCGCAGUAGGGAAUCUUCCGCAAGGGGCGAAAGCCUGACGGAGCAACGCCGCGUGAGUGAUGAAGGUCUUCGGAUCGUAAAACUCUGUUAUUAGGGAAGAACAUAUGUGUAAGUAACUGUGCACAUCUUGACGGUACCUAAUCAAAAAGCCACGGCUAACUACGUG
RNAcentral lists this ribosomal RNA (497 nucleotides) under uncultured bacterium. Its description in RNAcentral is "partial 16S ribosomal RNA". It matches the Rfam family "Bacterial small subunit ribosomal RNA", at positions 28 to 507 of the family's 1533-position model. The record is from RNAcentral.